Molecule: small nucleolar RNA, 210 nt
Filed under: Carlito syrichta (Philippine tarsier)
Lineage: Eukaryota; Metazoa; Chordata; Mammalia; Primates; Tarsiidae
Description: Small nucleolar RNA SNORA73 family (ENSTSYG00000022341.2)
Rfam family: Small nucleolar RNA SNORA73 family
About the family: U17 (SNORA73A and SNORA73B) also known as E1 belongs to the H/ACA class of small nucleolar RNAs (snoRNAs). Vertebrate U17 is intron-encoded and ranges in length from 200-230 nucleotides, longer than most snoRNAs. It is one of the most abundant snoRNAs in human cells and is essential for the cleavage of pre-rRNA within the 5' external transcribed spacer (ETS).
Source: Rfam by way of RNAcentral
UUAAAAUAGACAUCAUCAAGAAAAGAAAGGUCCUUCUCCCCGGGGUCUGUCCAAGUGGCUUUGGGAGUAUAGGGUUCUGUCCCAUGGUAAAUGGUCCCUUUCUACAUUGUUGGAGAUAAAACUGGGCUCGUGUUUGCGCCUGCAUAUUCCUAUGACUUCUCAGAGUCCCAUGGACAAUGACUAGGGAGACAAACUAUGCAAAAAAAAAAA